CGGCUGGAUUCCAGCGGCUGGAUUAGGCGGGCUAUGAAAAAGUAGUGCAGAAGACGGGCGCCGGAGUCACAUCAAGGUCGCAGGAUCGAAACCCAUCAGGAACGGUUCGGCUCCGUUACCUGUGUAGGCUCUGAACAUACUUGUGCCGAACUUCCCCGAAAGAGCGCCAUCUCGGCCUUCCUAGGUCGCUGCUCUACGGGUGAGGACGCUGGUGCGGCGGGUUCUGAUGGUCAGGACCGCAAGGGGACCGGGGGAGGGGGCGCCGUACCGUCCUCGCGCUUUUCAGGCAGAAUUGCAGAGUUUGCAGCGUAUGUAAAUGCAAUUAGUUGGUUAGCGACUAUAUUCUAAAUAUGACACAUUCCCAGGUCAAUUGUGCUCUCGCGAUGUGUUCCCGGUUGCGCCACCAGGUUCUGUAUCCGGGCUUGGUAUCGAGCACAAGUGAUGCAGGACUUUUCCUGUUAGACACAUUAUUAAUUCAAUUUCUCUAGGUGACCCCAAGGGACUAGCUUUGCAACAUUCAAGUAUCGAUUGCGACAAACUCCGAUAUCUCUGAAACCGAAAAAAAUAGAACCGCUCUAUACGUUAUAAGCUUUCUAUCAGUCCUUUCAGAAGGGUCUGGACCGCUUCCUGGGUCGACUUUUCCUCAAUGGCGCCCAAGCCCGGCUCCUCUGUCAACACGCGCUCGACUACUAGACUGGUAUCAUUAUGCAUCAAGAAAGGCGUAAUCUAGCCGUUGGAUGUAAGGAGGUAAGUGUUUAAAUGCCGGGCGACCGGUGAUUCAAUGUGAGUUGGGCUCGUCUUGGAGCAGCGCUAGCGUUUGCGGUGAGCCGGGCCUGGGGUUCCUCCCCUCUCCGGAGGCGAGGAGCAUGGGGGUCAUUCGGGGGUCUCUCCUCGGGUGAGCGUGCGUGUCUCGUACGUUUUUGGGGCCCUGGCUAGUCCACGGCUGUCGUCCCACAUGUAACCUCUAUCAGCUAACGAGCAGUGAUGUGGGCGGAAACCGGCAGGGAGGUGUAGGUAUCUAGCACGGGUGUGUGAGACCGGUGUAGAUGUUUAGAGGGUGUGAGGUGUGAGGGGGGACUAGCCGCACAGGUAGCGGCUUAGUUGCGGCUAUGAAAAAGUAGUGCAGCGGCUAUGAAAAAGUAGUGCAGAAGACGGGCGCGCAAAUGUGCGCGUGUGGCGCGGUUGGCGUCGGGGCAUGGUAGGGUGCGCGAAGCUUCGAUUGAAGCGGCCGAACUUGGCAGCCGAGUCGCAGCCCAAGGGGCACACAUACAUACUGUUCUUACGCACACUAAAGCUGAACGCUACCUGAGAUUCAAGCACCACUUGAGCAGGGUUCAAUCAUUCGAGUAGUUUUGGUCUUCGCGUAUGGAUGAUUUCUUUUUUAUUUUUAGAUAGGGCCAAAAAUGAUCCCGAAGAGAAGCAACGGCAAGCAAAGCGAUACCUCGAAGUGUGUUCCCACAUGUAACCUCUAUUCGCCCUGGCUUAGUCCACGGCUGUCGUCCCACAUGUAACCUCUAUCAGCUAACAAA
Molecule: long non-coding RNA, 1529 nt
Filed under: Chlamydomonas reinhardtii
Lineage: Eukaryota; Viridiplantae; Chlorophyta; Chlorophyceae; Chlamydomonadales; Chlamydomonadaceae
Description: long non-coding RNA (CREI_LNC000049)
Source: RNAcentral